RNAcentral lists this ribosomal RNA (494 nucleotides) under uncultured bacterium. Its description in RNAcentral is "partial 16S ribosomal RNA". It matches the Rfam family "Bacterial small subunit ribosomal RNA", at positions 28 to 507 of the family's 1533-position model. The record is from RNAcentral.
GACGAACGCUGGCGGCGUGCUUAACACAUGCAAGUCGAACGGUGAAGCGCCUUCCUUUUUGGUGGGUGUGGAUGAGUGGCGAACGGGUGAGUAACACGUGAGUAACCUGCCCCCUUCUUCUGGAUAACCGCAUGAAAGUGUGGCUAAUACGGGAUAUUCUGGGUCUGUCGCAUGAUGGGUCUGGGAAAGAUAUUGUUUCGGUGGGGGAUGGGCUCGCGGCCUAUCAGCUUGUUGGUGGGGUGAUGGCCUACCAAGGCGGUGACGGGUAGCCGGCCUGGGAGGGUGGACGGUCACACUGGGACUGAGACACGGCCCGGACUGCUACGGGGGGCAGCAGUGGGGAAUAGUGCACAAUGGGCGCAAGCCUGAUGCAGCGACGCCGCGUGAGGGAUGGAGGCCUUCGGGUUGUGAACCUCUUUCGCCAGUGAAGCAGGCCUGCCUCGUUUGUGGGUGGGUUGACGGUAGCUGGAUAAGAAGCGCCGGCUAACUACGUG